RNAcentral lists this transfer RNA (74 nucleotides) under Caudoviricetes sp. Its description in RNAcentral is "tRNA-Met". It matches the Rfam family "tRNA". From Rfam's summary of the family: Transfer RNA (tRNA) molecules are approximately 80 nucleotides in length. Their secondary structure includes four short double-helical elements and three loops (D, anti-codon, and T loops). Lineage: Duplodnaviria; Heunggongvirae; Uroviricota; Caudoviricetes. The record is from RNAcentral.
GGAUCUUUAGCUCAGUUGGUCAGAGCAACCGGCUCAUAACCGGUCGGUCCUGGGUUCGAGUCCCAGAAGGUCCA